This 339-nucleotide unclassified non-coding RNA is filed under the name soil metagenome. Its description in RNAcentral is "partial contains 5.8S ribosomal RNA, internal transcribed spacer 2, and large subunit ribosomal RNA". The stretch from base 1 to 120 matches the Rfam family "5.8S ribosomal RNA", at positions 35 to 154 of the family's 154-position model. The record is from RNAcentral.
GAUGAAGAACGUAGCGAAAUGCGAUACGUAAUGUGAAUUGCAGAAUUCCGUGAAUCAUCGAAUCUUUGAACGCACAUUGCACCUCUCGGUAUUCCGGGAGGUAUGCCUGUUCGAGCGUCAUUUGUACCCUCAAGCUCUGCUUGGUGUUGGGUGUUUGUUCCGCCUCUGUGUGUGAACUCGCCUCAAAACAAUUGGCAGCCGGCGUACUUGUUUCGGAGCGCAGCACAUUUUGCGAUCCAGAUCAACGUACAGCGGCAUCCAAGAAGCCUUAUUUAACGCUCUUGACCUCGGAUCAGGUAGGGAUACCCGCUGAACUUAAGCAUAUCAAUAAGCGGAGGA